UUGGUGUAGUUUGGUGGCUGCCAUCAGCAUUGCUCAAAUGAGACACAUGAUGUCUGGUGAAUGAAGGUUGGAAAUGUGUCAUUUUGCACAGUGCAGUUGUGGGCCUUCUGAUCAUAUGGUUUGGUUUUCAGGUCUACAGCUUGGGUGAAAAGACAGAAAACAAGGCAAAGAAAAGUCAAACAGAAGAAUUUGGGAUCUCAUAUUUUUCAUGCUUGCAGGAGAGAGGAUGGCUGUUUCUGCAUUGUGACAAGAUUCCUCCAAAACUGCGUACAAGGUACUGGCAAGUAUCAGCGCUCUGGUCCCACUGUCUACAGCCUUAUCCAUUUGGCGCCUGCUCCAGCCCUCUCACAUUACCAGCAGUGGGGUCUGUUUUCAGCUGUGAAAAGCUGAAUUGAAGAUGGAAUGAUGGAGGAAGAGAGGAUGGAUGUCUGCUCCUUUUUGCACUCACAGUAACUCCAGGACUUGGCAGGUUGGGGGGCUACACAGCUAGAAAAAGCUGGUAGGUUGUUCCUGCAAGUUUGGUGAAAACAGGCAAUCCCAAAGAAGGGAAACACCAUCAGGGAUAGUGACCAGCCCACUCUGUAGAGAGGUGAUAUGAAGGUCCUAGCCCUGGGAAAGCUUUGUCCAGUCACACAAUGAGGUACCCAGGAACCAGACUAUGAGACAGGCAUUCGUAACAAAACAGGUGGUGUUUACUCUAUUGAUGCUUUCUUUUGAGCUGAAUAUUGCAGGUAAAAAUGUUGAGUCAAAUUGGGAGAAUUUUCAGGGAUGCCCAGGAGGUGGUGUGGAAAAUGACUGUCCUUUAGGGGCCACAUGGAACUGGGGCCCUGCUGCUUAAGUACUUUCUUUUUGGCAAACUCACUCAGAAGAAAAAUACCAUGGAUUAACCAAGCAAAGUGCUAUUUUGCUAUCCUUUUGACAGUGAAAUUGUGGUAUUAAGGCUAAGAAUACAACAUAAAUUUCAAAUAAUUUUGUAACAUAAUUGGGUCUUUUCUGUAU
Serinus canaria (Common canary) is the source of this 999-nucleotide long non-coding RNA. RefSeq lists it as uncharacterized. The record is from RefSeq and is a predicted model, not a curated record. The transcript is spliced from 3 exons. Lineage: Eukaryota; Metazoa; Chordata; Aves; Passeriformes; Fringillidae.